This 223-nucleotide long non-coding RNA is filed under the name Sus scrofa (pig). RNAcentral describes it as "lncRNA (ENSSSCG00015059730.1)". The record is from RNAcentral. Lineage: Eukaryota; Metazoa; Chordata; Mammalia; Artiodactyla; Suidae.
AGCUGAAUUCUACCUCCCAGAAGCCUUACAUAAAACUUCCCCUCACAUCUCAUUGGCCACAACUAGCUCAUGCUAAGUAAGUGGCUUUGAAGAAGCAAGCUGCAAUAAAUCCUAUAGCUUCAAGAAAAUCAAUUCUCCUGACAAGCAGGAGCAGCUGCAGCAGCUGCACUUCCCUCUGGAGGAAACCAGCCUGGGAGAAGAAAGGCCCUAUAGAAUUAUCACG